Molecule: long non-coding RNA, 284 nt
Filed under: Vitis vinifera (wine grape)
Lineage: Eukaryota; Viridiplantae; Streptophyta; Magnoliopsida; Vitales; Vitaceae
Description: long non-coding RNA (VVIN_LNC006807)
Source: RNAcentral
UGGGUUUGAAGAAGUAGGGGGCUGAACUGAAGGUAAGUCUAAAGAGAUAGGUGGAUGUACUGAUGGUGGAUCUAAAGAGGUAAAGGGUUGUACUAAAGGUAGGUAUAAAGAGAUAAGGGGCUGUAUUGAUGGUAGGUCUGAAGAGAUAGGUGAUUGUACUGAUUGUGGGAAUAAAGAGGUAAGGGGCUGUAACAAUGCUGGCAUUGAUGAGGUGAUGGGCUGAUGACUAAUAUAUCUACCUCCCCUUCAAGAUGUUGAUCGACCUCAAAUAGGUGGUAGUCGAG